Molecule: ribosomal RNA, 2924 nt
Filed under: Klebsiella sp. PO552
Lineage: Bacteria; Pseudomonadati; Pseudomonadota; Gammaproteobacteria; Enterobacterales; Enterobacteriaceae
Description: 23S ribosomal RNA
Rfam family: Bacterial large subunit ribosomal RNA
Source: RNAcentral
GGGUUGUGAGGUUAAGCGACUAAGCGUACACGGUGGAUGCCCUGGCAGUCAGAGGCGAUGAAGGACGUGCUAAUCUGCGAAAAGCGUCGGUAAGGUGAUAUGAACCGUUACAGCCGGCGAUGUCCGAAUGGGGAAACCCAGUGCAAUUCGUUGCACUAUCGUUAACUGAAUACAUAGGUUAACGAGGCGAACCGGGGGAACUGAAACAUCUAAGUACCCCGAGGAAAAGAAAUCAACCGAGAUUCCCCCAGUAGCGGCGAGCGAACGGGGAGCAGCCCAGAGUCUGAAUCAGCUUGUGUGUUAGUGGAACGGUCUGGAAAGUCCGACGGUACAGGGUGAUAGUCCCGUACACCAAAAUGCACAGGCUGUGAACUCGAAGAGUAGGGCGGGACACGUGGUAUCCUGUCUGAAUAUGGGGGGACCAUCCUCCAAGGCUAAAUACUCCUGACUGACCGAUAGUGAACCAGUACCGUGAGGGAAAGGCGAAAAGAACCCCGGCGAGGGGAGUGAAAAAGAACCUGAAACCGUGUACGUACAAGCAGUGGGAGCCUCUUUAUGGGGUGACUGCGUACCUUUUGUAUAAUGGGUCAGCGACUUAUAUUCUGUAGCAAGGUUAACCGUAUAGGGGAGCCGCAGGGAAACCGAGUCUUAACUGGGCGUUAAGUUGCAGGGUAUAGACCCGAAACCCGGUGAUCUAGCCAUGGGCAGGUUGAAGGUUGGGUAACACUAACUGGAGGACCGAACCGACUAAUGUUGAAAAAUUAGCGGAUGACUUGUGGCUGGGGGUGAAAGGCCAAUCAAACCGGGAGAUAGCUGGUUCUCCCCGAAAGCUAUUUAGGUAGCGCCUCGUGAACUCAUCUUCGGGGGUAGAGCACUGUUUCGGCUAGGGGGUCAUCCCGACUUACCAACCCGAUGCAAACUACGAAUACCGAAGAAUGUUAUCACGGGAGACACACGGCGGGUGCUAACGUCCGUCGUGAAGAGGGAAACAACCCAGACCGCCAGCUAAGGUCCCAAAGUCAUGGUUAAGUGGGAAACGAUGUGGGAAGGCCCAGACAGCCAGGAUGUUGGCUUAGAAGCAGCCAUCAUUUAAAGAAAGCGUAAUAGCUCACUGGUCGAGUCGGCCUGCGCGGAAGAUGUAACGGGGCUAAACCAUGCACCGAAGCUGCGGCAGCGACACUAUGUGUUGUUGGGUAGGGGAGCGUUCUGUAAGCCUGUGAAGGUGGCCUGUGAGGGCUGCUGGAGGUAUCAGAAGUGCGAAUGCUGACAUAAGUAACGAUAAAGCGGGUGAAAAGCCCGCUCGCCGGAAGACCAAGGGUUCCUGUCCAACGUUAAUCGGGGCAGGGUGAGUCGACCCCUAAGGCGAGGCCGAAAGGCGUAGUCGAUGGGAAACAGGUUAAUAUUCCUGUACUUGGUGUUACUGCGAAGGGGGGACGGAGAAGGCUAUGUCAUCCGGGCGACGGUUGUCCCGGUUUAAGCAUGUAGGCUGGUUAUCCAGGCAAAUCCGGAUAAUCAAGGCUGAGGUGUGAUGACGAGGUACCACGGUACUGAAGUGACAGAUGCCCUGCUUCCAGGAAAAGCCUCUAAGCAUCAGGUAACAUCAAAUCGUACCCCAAACCGACACAGGUGGUCAGGUAGAGAAUACCAAGGCGCUUGAGAGAACUCGGGUGAAGGAACUAGGCAAAAUGGUGCCGUAACUUCGGGAGAAGGCACGCUGGUGUGUAGGUGAAGUCCCUGCGGACGGAGCUGAGACCAGUCGAAGAUACCAGCUGGCUGCAACUGUUUAUUAAAAACACAGCACUGUGCAAACACGAAAGUGGACGUAUACGGUGUGACGCCUGCCCGGUGCCGGAAGGUUAAUUGAUGGGGUUAUCCGUAAGGAGAAGCUCUUGAUCGAAGCCCCGGUAAACGGCGGCCGUAACUAUAACGGUCCUAAGGUAGCGAAAUUCCUUGUCGGGUAAGUUCCGACCUGCACGAAUGGCGUAAUGAUGGCCAGGCUGUCUCCACCCGAGACUCAGUGAAAUUGAACUCGCUGUGAAGAUGCAGUGUACCCGCGGCAAGACGGAAAGACCCCGUGAACCUUUACUAUAGCUUGACACUGAACAUUGAGCCUUGAUGUGUAGGAUAGGUGGGAGGCUUUGAAGCGUGGACGCCAGUCUGCGUGGAGCCAACCUUGAAAUACCACCCUUUAAUGUUUGAUGUUCUAACGUUGGCCCCUUAUCGGGGUUGCGGACAGUGUCUGGUGGGUAGUUUGACUGGGGCGGUCUCCUCCCAAAGCGUAACGGAGGAGCACGAAGGUUAGCUAAUCCUGGUCGGACAUCAGGAGGUUAGUGCAAUGGCAUAAGCUAGCUUGACUGCGAGCGUGACGGCGCGAGCAGGUGCGAAAGCAGGUCAUAGUGAUCCGGUGGUUCUGAAUGGAAGGGCCAUCGCUCAACGGAUAAAAGGUACUCCGGGGAUAACAGGCUGAUACCGCCCAAGAGUUCAUAUCGACGGCGGUGUUUGGCACCUCGAUGUCGGCUCAUCACAUCCUGGGGCUGAAGUAGGUCCCAAGGGUAUGGCUGUUCGCCAUUUAAAGUGGUACGCGAGCUGGGUUUAGAACGUCGUGAGACAGUUCGGUCCCUAUCUGCCGUGGGCGCUGGAGAAUUGAGGGGGGCUGCUCCUAGUACGAGAGGACCGGAGUGGACGCAUCACUGGUGUUCGGGUUGUCAUGCCAAUGGCACUGCCCGGUAGCUAAAUGCGGAAGAGAUAAGUGCUGAAAGCAUCUAAGCACGAAACUUGCCCCGAGAUGAGUUCUCCCUGAGACUAUAAGUCUCCUGAAGGAACGUUGAAGACGACGACGUUGAUAGGCCGGGUGUGUAAGCGCAGCGAUGCGUUGAGCUAACCGGUACUAAUGAACCGUGAGGCUUAACCUUACAACGCCGAAG